RNAcentral lists this unclassified non-coding RNA (184 nucleotides) under Zea mays. RNAcentral describes it as "misc RNA Zm00001eb281390". Lineage: Eukaryota; Viridiplantae; Streptophyta; Magnoliopsida; Poales; Poaceae. The record is from RNAcentral.
AUACCAAAGUAGCCUUGGUAACAACAAUAAGAGGGUUGGGCUUUUUGAUAUGGGUGAUGGAAGUAGUGAGCCUGCUGCUGAGGACAACAUUCAAAUGCAUCAGAACGAUAUUGUGCCGCAAUUACCACUGUAUUAUUAUUACCUAAGUGAAUGGACAUACCACCACUUCGCUAGAGAGGUUUGA